Molecule: ribosomal RNA, 119 nt
Filed under: Scophthalmus maximus (turbot)
Lineage: Eukaryota; Metazoa; Chordata; Actinopteri; Pleuronectiformes; Scophthalmidae
Source: RNAcentral
GCUUACGGCCACACCGCCUGGUUCACGCCCGAUCUCGUUUGAUCUCGGAAGCUAAGAUAGGGUGGGCCUGGUUAGUACUUGGAUGGGAGACAGCCUGGGAAUACCAGCUGCUGUAAGAU